AGUGAACGCUGGCGGUAUGCCUAACACAUGCAAGUCGAACGACAGCACAGUAAGCUCUUGCUCUUACGGUUGGCGAGUGGCGGGCGGGUGAGGCAUACAUCGCAAUCUACUUUUUCGUGGGGGAUAACGUAGGGAAACUUACGCUAAUACCGCAUACAACCUACGGGUGGAAUCAGUGGAUCUUCGGACCUUUCGCGAUUGAAUGAGCCGAUGUCGCAUUAGCUAGUUGGCGGGGUAAAGGCCCACCAAGGCGACGAUCCGUAGCUGGUCUGAGAGGAUGAUCAGCCACACUGGAACUGAGACACGGUCCAGACUCCUACGGGAGGCAGCAGUGGGGAAUCUUCGACAAUGGGCGCAAGCCUGAUCCAGCAACACCGCGUGGGUGAAGAAGGUCUUCGGGUUGUAAAGCUCUUUUGUUGGGAAAGAAAAGCAGUAGGUUAAUACCCCGCUGUUCUGACGGUACCCAAAGAAUAAGCACCGGCUAACUUCGUG
Molecule: ribosomal RNA, 492 nt
Filed under: uncultured bacterium
Lineage: Bacteria
Description: partial 16S ribosomal RNA
Rfam family: Bacterial small subunit ribosomal RNA
Source: RNAcentral